RNAcentral lists this ribosomal RNA (388 nucleotides) under uncultured eukaryote. RNAcentral describes it as "SSU rRNA". It matches the Rfam family "Eukaryotic small subunit ribosomal RNA", at positions 587 to 972 of the family's 1831-position model. The record is from RNAcentral.
AGCUCCAAUAGCGUAUAUUAAUGUUGUUGCAGUUAAAAAGCUCGUAGUUGGAUUUGUGGUUGGAUCUGUCGGCCCGACACUUUUUUGGUGUGGGUGCUUUGAUGGGUCUGUCCAUCUUUGGCCUGAAUGUUCGUGGCAUUGAGUUGUCGUGUUCGGUUAGGGUCAUCAUUUACUGUGAAAAAAUCAGAGUGUUCAAAGCAGGCUUAUGCCGUUGAAUAUAUUAGCAUGGAAUAAUGAGAUAGGACCUGGGUGCUAUUUUGUUGGUUUGCGCACCGAGGUAAUGAUUAAUAGGGACAGUUGGGGGUAUUCGUAUUCCAUUGUCAGAGGUGAAAUUCUUGGAUUUCUGGAAGACGAACUACUGCGAAAGCAUUUACCAAGGAUGUUUUCA